This 498-nucleotide ribosomal RNA is filed under the name uncultured bacterium. RNAcentral's name for it is "bacterial SSU rRNA". It matches the Rfam family "Bacterial small subunit ribosomal RNA", at positions 791 to 1283 of the family's 1533-position model. The record is from RNAcentral.
UAGUCCACGCCCUAAACGAUGAAUGUUAGCCGUUGGGACUUAAGUUUCAGUGGCGUAGCUAACGCGUUAAACAUUCCGCCUGGGGAGUACGGUCGCAAGAUUAAAACUCAAAGGAAUUGACGGGGACCCGCACAAGCGGUGGAGCAUGUGGUUUAAUUCGAUGCAACGCGAAGAACCUUACCACCUUUUGACAUCCUGAUCGCGGAGUUUGUAAUGAGCUCUUUCAGUUCGGCUGGAUCAGUGACAGGUGUUGCAUGGCUGUCGUCAGCUCGUGUCGUGAGAUGUUGGGUUAAGUCCCGCAACGAGCGCAACCCUCAUCCUUAGUUACCAGCGGGUUAAGCCGGGGACUCUAGGGAAACUGCCCGUGACAAGCGGGAGGAAGGUGGGGAUGACGUCAAGUCAUCAUGGGCCCUUACAAGGGUGGGGCUACACACGUGCUACAAUGGGUGGUUACAAUGGGGACGCUACACGGCGACGUGAUGCUAAUCUCUAAAAGCC